UACGUAGGUGGCAAGCGUUGUCCGGAUUUACUGGGCGUAAAGAGCGCGCAGGCGGUCGUUCAAGUCGCGUGUGAAAGCCCCCGGCUCAACUGGGGAGGGUCACGCGAUACUGAUCGACUCGAAGGCAGGAGAGGGUAGUGGAAUUCCCGGUGUAGUGGUGAAAUGCGUAGAUAUCAGGAAGAACACCAACGGCGAAGGCAGCUCGCUAGGACGGUACUGACGCUGAGACGCGAAAGCGUGGGGAGCGAACAGG
Molecule: ribosomal RNA, 253 nt
Filed under: uncultured bacterium
Lineage: Bacteria
Description: partial 16S ribosomal RNA
Rfam family: Bacterial small subunit ribosomal RNA
Source: RNAcentral